RNAcentral lists this transfer RNA (86 nucleotides) under Arenimonas sp. RNAcentral describes it as "tRNA-Tyr". It matches the Rfam family "tRNA". From Rfam's summary of the family: Transfer RNA (tRNA) molecules are approximately 80 nucleotides in length. Their secondary structure includes four short double-helical elements and three loops (D, anti-codon, and T loops). The record is from RNAcentral. RNAcentral also lists the same sequence under 3 other names. Lineage: Bacteria; Pseudomonadati; Pseudomonadota; Gammaproteobacteria; Lysobacterales; Lysobacteraceae.
GCGCAGAUGGCGGAGUGGUCAAUCGCAUCUGACUGUAAAUCAGACGCCUUCGGGCUACGUAGGUUCAAAUCCUACUCUGCGCACCA